ACUCAAAGGAAUUGACGGGGACUCGCACAAGCGGUGGAGCACGUGGUUUAAUUCGACAACAAGCGGGAAACCUCACCAAGGCUUGACAUGACGCUGCAAGCCCCGAGAAAUCGGGGCCGCCUACGAGGGUGCGUCACAGGUGCUGCAUGGUUGCCGUCAGCUCGUGUCGUGAGAUGUACGGUUAAGUCCGAUAACGAGCGCAACCCCUAUCCUAAUUUAUACUUUAUUAGGAAACUGCCUCGGAUAACGAGGAGGAAGGUGGGGAUGACGUCAAAUCAGCAUGGCUCUUACGCCUUGGGCAACACACAUGCUACAAUGGCCGGUACAGAGGGUCGCUAAACCGUAAGGUGGAGCUAAUCCCAUCAAAACCGGUCUCAGUUCGGAUUGAGGUCUGCAACUCGACCUCAUGAAGCCGGAAUCGCUAGUAACCGUGAAUCAGCACGUCACGGUGAAUACGUUCUCGAGUCUUGUACACACCGCCCGU
This 484-nucleotide ribosomal RNA is filed under the name uncultured bacterium. Its description in RNAcentral is "bacterial SSU rRNA". It matches the Rfam family "Bacterial small subunit ribosomal RNA", at positions 899 to 1397 of the family's 1533-position model. The record is from RNAcentral.